CCAAGGGCGAGUGCUUUGUGAAAUUAACAAGAGGGCUUUGUUCUGACUGACGUGACUUUAAGCAAUUUGAACUUGCGAUCCUCAAACGAAAAGCCAGGUCUGCGAGCAAGCCUACCAAUGUGGACUACGCGAGCCCAAAAGCGAGCCAGUGCAGAGAAGAAGAAGACGGAGGUGGUGCAGGCGGUGGCUCGACCGGCAGCGGCGGAGGUGGUGACGGCAGCAGUGGAGGUGGUGACGGCAGCAGCGUGGCUUGGGGAUUUGUCCUCCCCCUCGUAACAGCGUUUAGAGAAGGCGAAGGCCUUGGUGGUGGCGGCAUUGAAGGAUUUUAGCCAUUUGGGGACCACUUAGACUCGUGAGGUGGCUGCCGGGAGGAUUACAACAGUUUAGACUUUCAAAUUGGGGUAUCCCGGGCACGUCCCGUCGACCUUGAGUUCGAAGCUCAAGGAGUUUUGAAGAGUUUUGUGAGCGCACCACAUGUAUGGCGACAUUCCAGGCAAAUCCCUGCUUGGGGCAAAUGUGUGAUUGUGUGCU
This is a long non-coding RNA of Nymphaea colorata (pocket water lily), 531 nucleotides long. RefSeq lists it as uncharacterized. NCBI's taxonomy places the organism in Eukaryota, Viridiplantae, Streptophyta, Magnoliopsida, Nymphaeales, Nymphaeaceae. The transcript is spliced from 4 exons. The record is from RefSeq and is a predicted model, not a curated record.